RNAcentral lists this ribosomal RNA (358 nucleotides) under uncultured Aerococcaceae bacterium. RNAcentral describes it as "bacterial SSU rRNA". It matches the Rfam family "Bacterial small subunit ribosomal RNA", at positions 197 to 524 of the family's 1533-position model. Lineage: Bacteria; Bacillati; Bacillota; Bacilli; Lactobacillales; Aerococcaceae. The record is from RNAcentral.
CGGACGUAAGCUGUCGACGUAUGGGACUGGCCCGCGUGCAUUAGCUAGUUGGUAAGGUAAAAGGCUUACCAAGGCGAUGAUGCAUAGCCCGAGUUGAGAGACUGAUCGGGCCACAUUGGGGACUGAGACACGGGGCCCAAACUCCUACGGGGGGAGGGGCAGCAGUAGGGGGAAUCUUCCACAAUGGACGCAAGUCUGAUGGAGCAACGCCGCGUGAGUGAAGUAAGGUUUCGGAUCGUAAAGCUCUGUUGUUGGUGAAGAAGGAUAGGAGGUAAGUAACUCGGUCCUUUAUUUGGAACGGUAAUACAACCAAGAAAGUCGACGGACUAACUACGUCGCCAGCACGCCGGACGGUAAU